RNAcentral lists this ribosomal RNA (253 nucleotides) under uncultured bacterium. RNAcentral's name for it is "partial 16S ribosomal RNA". It matches the Rfam family "Bacterial small subunit ribosomal RNA", at positions 524 to 776 of the family's 1533-position model. The record is from RNAcentral.
UACGUAGGGUGCAGGCGUUAAUCGGAAUUACUGGGCGUAAAGCGUGCGCAGGCGGUUUGCUAAGACAGGUGUGAAAUCCCCGGGCUUAACUUGGGAAUUGCGCUCGAAACUACGUGGCUCGAGUGUGGCAGAGGAAGGUGGAAUUCCACGUGUAGCGGUGAAAUGCGUAGAGAUGUGGAGGAACACCGAUGGCGAAGGCAGCCUUCUGGGCCAACACUGACGCUCAUGCACGAAAGCGUGGGGAGCAAACAGG